This 29-nucleotide non-coding RNA is filed under the name Mus musculus (house mouse). The record is from RNAcentral. Lineage: Eukaryota; Metazoa; Chordata; Mammalia; Rodentia; Muridae.
UGAGAUUAAAGGAAUUGUGCAUCAUGCCU